The sequence is a ribosomal RNA, 2430 nucleotides long. The stretch from base 655 to 2430 matches the Rfam family "Bacterial large subunit ribosomal RNA", at positions 1 to 2533 of the family's 2925-position model.
UCAGAGUUAAAUAGACAUCCUAGACAUAUCAAUAGAGCAUUACUUAAACAUGGACAUGAUAAGUUUAAGCUAGAAAUAUUAGAAUAUUGUGAUAAAGACAAAUUAAUGGAAAGAGAACAAUUCUAUCUAGAUGAAAUAAAUCCUAGUUAUAAUAUAUUAAAAAAAGCUUAUUCUAUGGAAGGAUUUAAACAUAGUGCAGAAACUAUUGAACAAUUAAAGGAUAGAGAAUUUACUCAAGAACAUAAAGAUAAUUUAGCUAAAGCUCGUUAAGGUAGAGAAUUUUCAGAAGAAACAUUAAAGAAACUAUCUGAAAGUCUAUCUAAACAUCGCAAGGAACAUCCUUUAACACCUGAAGCUUUUGAAAAUAUCAAAAGAAAAACUACAGAACGUGAAGGAGUUCCAGUUGCCUUAAUAAAUAAGGAUACAGGUGAAGAAACUCAGUUUGAAACUCAAACUGAUGCGGCUAAUUUCUUAGGUAUAACUAGACAAGCUAUCAAGAAAGCAUUAGAUAGAGAUAGUAUACUAUCUAAAUUGUAUAAAGUUAAACGUUCAGAUCAAAAUAAUAAUAACAGAUUAUCUUCUAUAGAUAAUAAUUCAUCAUCUGGUGAUGACGGAGGAGACUAAAUUAAUUUAAUUUUAUGUAAAAUAUGUUUUACAUAAGAUAAAUAUCUAUAAAAUCAUUAUAAGAUAUUUAUGUCUAAAUGGAUAAAGUGAAUUAUUCAGGGAUAGUAUUUAAAAAUACUCCGUGUAUGUCAAAAGGGAAACAGCCCAGAACAAGAGUUAAGGUUCCUAAAUUAUUUGUUGAGUGAAAUUAAGAAAGUUUUUAUUAAAGUCGACAAGGAGAUAGGCUUAGAAGCAGCCAUAAUUUUAUGACCUCGUAACAGAGCGCUUGUUAAGUUAUAAAAGCAUCGAAAAUAUAACGGAUCUAAACAAUAUACCGAAACCUUGUCCAUAAAUUAAUGUAGUUUACGUAUUUUUUACAAAUUUAUGGGGUAGCAGAACGUUGAAUUAAACUAAAUAAGAAGUUUAUAAAUUUGUUAUGUUAAUUCAAGUGAGAAUGGUGACAUGAGUAACGAAAAGAAUAGUAGAUGAUAUUAUAAAACUACAUUAAAUAUUUGAUCUUAUUUAAUGUUUAAAGAUCUACUAUCCGCCUAAAGCUUAUGGUUAGAAUUAAGUAACGGCCUCUAAGCUUUUUUAUCUAAAGAUUGAAGCGAUGAGAAAAUCUUUUAUUAUAAGACGACAUUUAUCUAGUGAAAAAUGUACAGGAAAUAUUAUAAUAUAGUAACCGUACCUAGAGACCGACUAUGGUAAGCUAGUAGAGUAUACGAAGGCGUAAUUGAGAUAACAAUCAUAAAGGAACUCGGCAAAUUGACUAUCGUAACUUCGGGAUAAGUAGGGCUCAUUAUUCUUGAUUAAUAUCAGGUAAAGAGGAAGAAACAUAAAAUAAUGUUGUACGACUGUUUAAUUAAAACACAGCACUUUGCUUAAAGAUUAAAAAUCUAUGUAUAAAGUGUGAUAUCUGCCCGGUGCCGGCUGGCUAACAGAGAUAAUUGAAUACAUUACUAUUUGAUGUCAACGGAAGCCCCGGUUAAAGGCGGCCUUAACGUGAGGGUCCUAAGGUAGCGAAAUGCCUUGGCCGUUAAAUGCGGUCUUGCAUGAAUGGUGUAACGAUACAACAGCUGUCUCUAUGAUUGACUCAGUGAAAUUGGAAUAGCUGUGCAGAUACAGCUUACCUCUAGUUAGACGAGAAGACCCUAUGCAGCUUUACUGUCACUAAUUAUAGAUUUUGAUGAAAAAUUUUCAGACUAAAAGGUUGUUGAUUAAAUAUUCAUGAGAAACCUUUAUUUUUAUUCUUCAUUUGAAUGAAUUGAUAUACCUUUAGUAUAUCAUCCUAGUUCAACUUAGUUCUUAGUUUACUAAGAAAUAGGUACCCUUGGAAAGGAACUAUGACUAGGGGACAGUUUAUGUGGGGCACAGACCCUGUAAAGAGUAAACAGGUGUGUCUAAUAAUUAUUUUUAUUUUGUUUGCUAUUUUUAUAUAAAUCAUAUUCACUUUAAUAUAAUUGUAUUGUGUACGGCUAUUUAAGCUCGUUAUAUAAUUAUAUUUAUAUUGAAAAUUUAGGUAAGAUUUUGACUAUACUGAAAUUAGAGAUAAUUUAAGAUUUUAUGUAAUAAAUUAAUUACUAAAAUUUUAUAGUUAUACUAUGUGUGAUCGCACAUAUUAAUUAUGUUUUUAAUAUCUAAAAAGCUCAACGGCUUAAUCUUGCCUUACUGUUUGAUUAUCGACAAAUCUUACAGUUGCGUAAGCAGGGCAUAGGAUCACAAGAUGCAAUAAGGAAAGAUCUUGGAUUAUUGGAAAAGCUACGCUAGGGAUGUUUGUCCUAUAAUCUUUUGUAUUGCAAAAGAAUUAUUAUAAAUUGGGUAAAUUUC